GAUGAACGCUGGCGGCGUGCCUAAUACAUGCAAGUCGAGCGAACGGACGAGAAGCUUGCUUCUCUGAUGUUAGCGGCGGACGGGUGAGUAACACUUGGAUAACCUACCUAUAAGACUGGGAUAACUUCGGGAAACCGGAGCUAAUACCGGAUAAUAUUUUGAACCGCAUGGUUCAAAAGUGAAAGACGGUCUUGCUGUCACUUAUAGAUGGAUCCGCGCUGCAUUAGCUAGUUGGUAAGGUAACGGAUUACCAAGGCAACGAUGCAUAGCCGACCUGAGAGGGUGAUCGGCCACACUGGAACUGAGACACGGUCCAGACUCCUACGGGAGGCAGCAGUAGGGAAUCUUCCGCAAUGGGCGAAAGCCUGACGGAGCAACGCCGCGUGAGUGAUGAAGGUCUUCGGAUCGUAAAACUCUGUUAUUAGGGAAGAACAUAUGUGUAAGUAACUGUGCACAUCUUGACGGUACCUAAUCAGAAAGCCACGGCUAACUACGUG
RNAcentral lists this ribosomal RNA (497 nucleotides) under uncultured bacterium. RNAcentral describes it as "partial 16S ribosomal RNA". It matches the Rfam family "Bacterial small subunit ribosomal RNA", at positions 28 to 507 of the family's 1533-position model. The record is from RNAcentral.